RNAcentral lists this long non-coding RNA (212 nucleotides) under Manihot esculenta (cassava). RNAcentral's name for it is "long non-coding RNA (MESC_LNC012892)". Lineage: Eukaryota; Viridiplantae; Streptophyta; Magnoliopsida; Malpighiales; Euphorbiaceae. The record is from RNAcentral.
AGGAGCGUCAGAGGAUAUGGGGGAUGAUAUGGAUGUAGAGCAGAGAAGGGAUGGCAGUCUAGGAGUUGGCAUGUCAGAAGAGGGAAUGGGAGAGUCCCAAGGAGGCACUAAGGCCUCGGGAUUUGUACAGCCACCUCACUACCCACACUUCUCACAACACCCCGGGUAUUCGAUGGGAGGUACAUCGGAUUACCCUAGCUUUACCCCUUAUC